Molecule: long non-coding RNA, 1350 nt
Filed under: Canis lupus familiaris (dog)
Lineage: Eukaryota; Metazoa; Chordata; Mammalia; Carnivora; Canidae
Description: lncRNA (ENSCAFG00845017863.1)
Source: RNAcentral
AUGCGGAGAGGAAGGCCGCGCGGUGGGCCCAGCUCGCCCCGCCCUCGGCCUCCUCGGUCCUCCCGCGCCCGCCGGGACCCCCUGCGUCUGUGCCACCUCGCCCAGGCCUCUAGCCCGUGCGGACCCCCGGCGGCGGGACAGAGGGACACACGGACGGCCGCACGGGCUCGCGUAGGGCAAGCCGGCUCCGAGCCCCGAGGAAGGCGCAAGGCCCGGGGGCUCUGGCCGGCCCGGAGACAAGCGAGCGCAGGCCUGGCCCCCGGGACCGCGCCCUGCCCGACGCACGAGGUCUCGGUCUCGGCGGGGCCACGGCCCGUCCCCCACGCCCCGCGCCCCGAGCACCUGCCCCGAAGCCCGCGCCCCAGGCCCCGGGAGGGCGGACCGAGCGGAGGAGCUCCCGGCCGCGGGGCCCACGGGUACCCCGGCCGCCCAGCCCGUCUGCCCCUGCCCCGCCCUCCCUACCCCGCCCCUGCCCCGCCCGGGCCCGCCCCGCCCUGCCCUCCCUGCCCCACCCCCCCCCGCCCUGCCCCGCCCUCCCUACCCCCCCCCCCCCCCCUACCCCAACCCCCCCCCCACCCCGACCCUGCCCCGCCUGGGCCCGCCCCGCCCCGCCCUCCCUACCCCACCCCCCCGCCCCGCCCUGCCCUCCCUACCCCGCCCCGACCAGGCCCGCCCCGCCCUCCCUACCCCGCCCUGCCCCCGCCCUCCCUACCCCACCCCCGCCCCGCCCUCCCUACCCCGCCCUCCCUACCCCACCCCUGCCCCGCCCUGCCCUCCCUACCCUGCCCCGCCCAGGCCCGCCCCGCCCUCCCUACCCCGCCCCCGCCCCGCCCUGCCCCGCCCUCCCCCCCCGCCCUCCCUACCCCACCCCUGCCCCGCCCAACCCGCCCCGCCCUCCCUGCCCCGCCCUCCCUACCCCACCCCCGCCCCGCCCUGCCCUGCCCCGCGUGGGAGGCGGCCGCAGCCUCCAGCGCCCUGCCAGGCCUCAGCGCGCGGACUCCCGGGUCCCGCCUGCCCCGCGGCCAGGGAGCACACACUUCUCAGGCACCUGCUCUCCCAAGUCCGCCUUCCCCGCCGCACGCCCCAACCCCCCAUCCCGCUGCCCGGGGAGACGCCCCAAGACGUGCCCAGCAGCCCCCUCGGCCACCCCCGUACCCCGCUGGCCUACCAGGGAGCUGCGAGCCCCUUCCAACAACACUUAUGCACAAAUGUGAACACCUGAGACAGGGCUGGACACCUCUUCGUUUAUUUUUUGUCCUUUUCCAGAAGUCGGCAGUUCAGGCCGCAUCCCCUGAGCGUCCGCGCCCGAGACACUGGGAAGGUUUUCGGGGCUGUUUUCUGGAACCGUAG